This 92-nucleotide non-coding RNA is filed under the name Bordetella ansorpii. RNAcentral describes it as "Glycine sequence". It matches the Rfam family "Glycine riboswitch aptamer". Rfam says of the family: This family represents the bacterial glycine riboswitch. Lineage: Bacteria; Pseudomonadati; Pseudomonadota; Betaproteobacteria; Burkholderiales; Alcaligenaceae. The record is from Rfam by way of RNAcentral.
CAAUGCCACGCAGAAGAGUCCGGCCACACCAGGCCGGCGCCGACGGAGCAACCGCCCCGGAAACUCUCAGGCACCAGGACUGCGCAGGCUAG